RNAcentral lists this ribosomal RNA (262 nucleotides) under uncultured bacterium. Its description in RNAcentral is "partial 16S ribosomal RNA". It matches the Rfam family "Bacterial small subunit ribosomal RNA", at positions 99 to 354 of the family's 1533-position model. The record is from RNAcentral.
CGAACGGGGUGAGUAACACGUGGGCAACCUGCCCAAAANAGGGGGAUAACACUUGGAAACAGGUGCUAAUACCGCAUAACCAUAGUUACCGCAUGGUAACUAUGUAAAAGGUGGCUAUGCUACCGCUUUUGGAUGGGCCCGCGGCGCAUUAGCUAGUUGGUGGGGUAAAGGCUUACCAAGGCAAUGAUGCGUAGCCGAACUGAGAGGUUGAUCGGCCACAUUGGGACUGAGACACGGCCCAAACUCCUACGGAAGGCAGCAG